Molecule: ribosomal RNA, 497 nt
Filed under: uncultured bacterium
Lineage: Bacteria
Description: partial 16S ribosomal RNA
Rfam family: Bacterial small subunit ribosomal RNA
Source: RNAcentral
GAUGAACGCUGGCGGCGUGCCUAAUACAUGCAAGUCGAGCGAACAGACGAGGCGCUUGCUCCUCUGACGUUAGCGGCGGACGGGUGAGUAACACGUGGAUAACCUACCUAUAAGACUGGGAUAACUUCGGGAAACCGGAUCUAAUACCGGAUAAUAUAGUGAACCGCAUGGUUCAAUAGUGAAAGACGGUUUUGCUGUCACUUAUAGAUGGAUCCGCGCCGCAUUAGCUAGUUGGUAAGGUAACGGCUUACCAAGGCGACGAUGCGUAGCCGACCUGAGAGGGUGAUCGGCCACACUGGAACUGAGACACGGUCCAGACUCCUACGGGAGGCAGCAGUAGGGAAUCUUCCGCAAUGGGCGAAAGCCUGACGGAGCAACGCCGCGUGUGUGAUGAAGGUCUUCGGAUCGUAAAGCUCUGUUAUUAGGGAAGAACAAAUGUGUAAGUAACUAUGCACGUCUUGACGGUACCUAAUCAGAAAGCCACGGCUAACUACGUG